GGAGGGUGCAAGCGUUGUUCGGAAUAACUGGGCGUAAAGAGCACGUAGGCGGGCUCAUAAGCCAAUUGUGAAAGCCCGGAGCUCAACUCCGGAAUUGCAGUUGGAACUGUGAGUCUUGUAUGCUUGAGAGGGUGAGGGAAUUCCUGGUGUAGAAGUGAAAUUCGUAGAUAUCAGGAGGAACACCGGAGGCGAAGGCGCUUACCUGGCAAUGCAUUGACGCUGAGGUGCGAAAGCGUGGGGGGAGCAAACAGGAUUAGAUACCCUGGUAGUCCACGCCGUAAACGAUGGAUACUAGGUGUCCGGAUGAUUAACCGUCUGGGUACCAAAGCUAACGCAUUAAGUAUCCCCGCCUGGGAGUACGGUCGCAAGGCUA
Molecule: ribosomal RNA, 373 nt
Filed under: uncultured organism
Description: partial 16S ribosomal RNA
Rfam family: Bacterial small subunit ribosomal RNA
Source: RNAcentral